ACUCAAAUGAAUUGACGGGGGCCCGCACAAGCAGCGGAGCAUGUGGUUUAAUUCGAAGCAACGCGAAGAACCUUACCUAGACUUGACAUACCCUUGAAUAACUGGUAAAGCGGGAAGCCUUUCGGGGCAAGGGUACAGAUGGUGCAUGGUUGUCGUCAGCUCGUGUCGUGAGAUGUUGGGUUAAGUCCCGCAACGAGCGCAACCCUUGUUGUUAGUUACUAGUAUUAAGUUAAGGACUCUAACAAGACUGCCUGGGUUAACCAGGAGGAAGGUGGGGAUGACGUCAAAUCAUCAUGCCUCAAACGUUUAGGGCUACACACGUGCUACAAUGGUGAAAACAAAGAGAAGCGAGAUAGUGAUAUGGAGCAAAACUAAGAAAAGUCAUCACAGUUCGGAUUGCAGGCUGCAACUCGCCUGCAUGAAGCCGGAGUUGCUAGUAAUCGCGAAUCAGCAUGUCGCGGUGAAUACGUUCCCGGGCCUUGUACACACCGCCCGU
This 496-nucleotide ribosomal RNA is filed under the name uncultured bacterium. RNAcentral's name for it is "bacterial SSU rRNA". It matches the Rfam family "Bacterial small subunit ribosomal RNA", at positions 899 to 1397 of the family's 1533-position model. The record is from RNAcentral.